RNAcentral lists this non-coding RNA (21 nucleotides) under Caenorhabditis elegans. Lineage: Eukaryota; Metazoa; Nematoda; Chromadorea; Rhabditida; Rhabditidae. The record is from RNAcentral.
UCGAGGUCUGGCUGAAACUAA